This is a non-coding RNA of Syngnathus acus (greater pipefish), 82 nucleotides long. The record is from the annotation of a RefSeq genome assembly. Lineage: Eukaryota; Metazoa; Chordata; Actinopteri; Syngnathiformes; Syngnathidae.
GUUGUUGUGGCCGAGUGGUUAAGGCAAUGGACUUAAAAUCCAUUGGGGCCUCCCCUCGCAGGUUCGGGUCCUACCGACAACG